UACAGAGGUCUCAAGCGUUGUUCGGAUUCAUUGGGCGUAAAGGGUGUGUAGGUGGCGCGCUAAGUCGGGUGUGAAAUUUCGGAGCUUAACUCCGAAACUGCAUUCGAUACUGGCGUGCUUGAGGACUGGAGAGGAGACUGGAAUUCAUGGUGUAGCAGUGAAAUGCGUAGAGAUCAUGAGGAAGACCAGUGGCGAAGGCGGGUCUCUGGACAGUUCCUGACACUGAGACACGAAGGCCAGGGGAGGCAAACGGG
RNAcentral lists this ribosomal RNA (254 nucleotides) under uncultured bacterium. Its description in RNAcentral is "partial 16S ribosomal RNA". It matches the Rfam family "Bacterial small subunit ribosomal RNA", at positions 524 to 776 of the family's 1533-position model. The record is from RNAcentral.